Molecule: non-coding RNA, 242 nt
Organism: Paramuricea clavata
Lineage: Eukaryota; Metazoa; Cnidaria; Anthozoa; Malacalcyonacea; Plexauridae
Source: the annotation of a GenBank genome assembly
UUAUUAAUGAGUUUUUGAACUUUAUAUAAAGAAUACUAAUAAGGCAGUAUCUAUUGUAGUCGUGUCCUCAUUAGUAUUUUUUAUAUAAAGAAUGCUAAUAAGGCAGUAUAUCUAUUGAAUUUGUAGUCGUGUUUGAAGCCGUUUAAUGAACUCGCAGGUCGUGUUUUAUUAGGUCUAAAGCCACUCGCGCUUCGCGCUCGUGGCUUUAAACCUAAUAAAACACUCCUGCUCGUUUAUUAAAC